RNAcentral lists this long non-coding RNA (1430 nucleotides) under Sus scrofa (pig). Its description in RNAcentral is "lncRNA (ENSSSCG00015045795.1)". Lineage: Eukaryota; Metazoa; Chordata; Mammalia; Artiodactyla; Suidae. The record is from RNAcentral.
CUACCACAGCCACAGAACCUGCGAUCUGAGCCACAUCCACAACCUAGGUCACAGCUUGUGGCAAUGCCGGAUCCUUAACUCAGUGAUCAAGGCCAGGGAUCCAACCGAAUCCUCAAGGACACACUAGUUGGGUUCUUAAACCACUGAGCCAUAACGAGAACUCCCAAUUUUAAUCCAUUGGACCAUCUCAUUUGGCUGAGAAUUAGUCUGAAGCAAUACUACCACCUUGUGGUUUCACUUUGAAUAUAACAACUUGAAGAAGAUGGUUUGGACUCACCUAUUAAAUUAGGUUAGGUGGUUCAAAUAUGCCUAUUUUAGGAAACAAGUUUAAUAAUACUGCAUAACAUGUUUAAGUUAACUAAUAUUUAUGGCAUUGGCCUUAAAAACCUGUAAUUCAACACAUUCUCACAAUAAUUAUCUGUUUGAUGCCCAAGUACAAGAACAAAACAGUGAAAAAAAUGAAUAAAAAGACUUUCAUUCAUAGAUGUUACACUUUAGUGAGAGGAAGUAGAUAAUAAAUGAGCAUAAUAAGCAAAUAAAUUACAUGUUCAGGCCGGAAUUCCCGUCGUGGCGCAGUGGUUAACGAAUCCGACUAGGAAUCAUGAGGUUGAGGGUUCGGUCCCUGCCCUUGCUCAGUGGGUUAAGGAUCUGGCGUUGCUGUGAGCUGUGGUGUAGGUUGCAGACGCGGCUCGGAUCUCGCAUUGCUGUGGCUCUGGCGUAGGUCGGUGGCUACAGCUCUGAUUCGACCCCUAGCCUGGGAACCUCCAUAUGCCGCGGGAGCGGCCCAAAGAAAUAGCAAAAAAGACAAAACAAACAAACAAACAAACAAACAACAACAAAAACAAAACACCUAAAUAAAUAAAUAAAGGGCCGAUCAGCUUUCCCCCUUUCGAACAAAACAAAACAAAAGCAACCUUUGCCUUGCAAGGAAAGUUUCUGUGAACUUAAGAUUUGAGAAGGGGAGGCGAGAGCAGUAGACGAAUCUAGUUCAAAGCUAGGCAGCUGGAAGAUUUGAAAAUUGAAGUCAAAAUGGUCUAACUACUGUCAAACCCUUACAUUACUCCCAACCCAUGCCCCUCGAGGGAACAAGUCUCCAACCCAGAGCCCAAGCUCUGGUCCAGCCUGUCACACUGCAGAUCCCGGAAGGGUGCUCAGGUGCUCAGGGACAGGCGGAAGAAAAAGGGGAGGGACUCUAACGCUGACCUUGCAGGACACUGCGACGCCAAAAAUCUUGUUAGCGGCUGCAGGUGUAAGGCUGCUCCGCAUUGGUGGCUCGGGGCUCUUCCCAUUAUUAUUACGUAGCCCUAUUUCCUAAUCGGAGAAAGGACCCAGGUAAAGUUGGGUCAACCCCCGCAAGCCUCCUCAGGACCAACAAUUGCUACGCCGUCGCAGGCAGCGCCGGUGUCCAGUCAGGCUGCAGCAUCGAGGCC